This 66-nucleotide transfer RNA is filed under the name human gut metagenome. It matches the Rfam family "tRNA". Rfam says of the family: Transfer RNA (tRNA) molecules are approximately 80 nucleotides in length. Their secondary structure includes four short double-helical elements and three loops (D, anti-codon, and T loops). Further hydrogen bonds mediate the characteristic L-shaped molecular structure. tRNAs have two regions of fundamental functional importance: the anti-codon, which is responsible for specific mRNA codon recognition, and the 3' end, to which the tRNAs corresponding amino acid is attached (by aminoacyl-tRNA synthetases). tRNAs cope with the degeneracy of the genetic code in two manners: having more than one tRNA (with a specific anti-codon) for a particular amino acid; and 'wobble' base-pairing, i.e. permitting non-standard base-pairing at the 3rd anti-codon position. The record is from RNAcentral.
AUAGUAGCUCAGUUGGUAGAGCAUCAGCUUCCCAAGCUGAGGGUCGCGAGUUCGAGUCUCGUCUAU